AAGGAAUAUUGGACAAUGCCCGCAAGGGUGAUCCAGCCAUGCCGCGUGCAGGAAGACGGCCCUAUGGGUUGUAAACUGCUUUUACACCGGAGAAAACCUCCCCUCGUGAGGGGAGCUGAUAGUAUGGUGAGAAUAAGCAUCGGCUAACUUCGUGCCAGCAGCCGCGGUAAGACGAAGGAUGCAAGCGUUAUCCGGAUUCAUUGGGUUUAAAGGGAGCGUAGGUGGCCUUAUAAGUCAGUGGUGAAAUCUCUGGGCUUAACCCAGAAAUUGCCAUUGAUACUGUAGGGCUUGAGUACAGUUGCUGUGGGCGGAAUAUGACAUGUAGUGGUGAAAUACAUAGAGAUGUCAUAGAACACCGAUUGCGAAGGCAGCUCACAAAACUGUAACUGACACUGAGGCUCGAAAGUGCGGGGAUCAAAC
RNAcentral lists this ribosomal RNA (420 nucleotides) under uncultured bacterium. RNAcentral's name for it is "bacterial SSU rRNA". It matches the Rfam family "Bacterial small subunit ribosomal RNA", at positions 356 to 773 of the family's 1533-position model. The record is from RNAcentral.